Ostrea edulis (European flat oyster) is the source of this 415-nucleotide long non-coding RNA. RefSeq lists it as uncharacterized. The transcript has 3 exons. The record is from RefSeq and is a predicted model, not a curated record. NCBI's taxonomy places the organism in Eukaryota, Metazoa, Mollusca, Bivalvia, Ostreida, Ostreidae.
UACAUGUAUGCAUAAUAUGAGAAAUGAUAUUUUAUUGCCAGAGUCGAUAUGCUUGAAAUGUGAAAGACCCGGCUUCUAUCCCUUGAUGUACUGUAAUGAUAUCAUCAAGGGCGACUACUGCUACACAAGCAUUAUUCGUAAUGCCUCGGGGAUAUUUACUGCAAAAGGACCAGCCACGUCCUCGUUUUGCGAUGCCAACAAGUACAAGAGCAGUCUUGCGAACCCCUCCUGCAGGACCGGGAACAUACCGGAAGGGACAGAAUGCAUCGACUGUUGUAAACAGUACAACUGUGACCCUAAUGACCUUUACUGCAACAAGCAUAUCAUACAGAGCGUCCACAUGCCGUUUACCGUGACUACAGUAAAAACCACACCAACAGUUGCCACGACAACGGUCCCAACAACAACAACAACA